Molecule: ribosomal RNA, 253 nt
Filed under: uncultured bacterium
Lineage: Bacteria
Description: partial 16S ribosomal RNA
Rfam family: Bacterial small subunit ribosomal RNA
Source: RNAcentral
UACGGGGGGGGCAAGCGUUGUUCGGAAUUACUGGGCGUAAAGGGCUCGUAGGCGGCCAACUAAGUCCGACGUGAAAUCCCCAGGCUCAACUUGGGAACUGCGUCGGAUACUGGAUGGCUUGAAUUCGGGAGAGGGAUGCAGAAUUCCAGGUGUAGCGGUGAAAUGCGUAGAUAUCUGGAGGAAUACCGGUGGCGAAGGCGGCAUCCUGGACCGAAAUUGACGCUGAGGCGCGAAAGCCAGGGGAGCAAACGGG